GACGAAGGUGGCGAGCGUUACUCGGAAUUACUAGGCGUAAAGCGUGGGUAGGCGGUUUGGAAAGUCUGCUGUGAAAGCUCCCGGCUUAACCGGGAGAGGUCAGUGGAAACUUCCAGACUUGAAUCGAGGAGGGGUGACUGGAAUUCCAGGUGUAGCGGUGAAAUGCGUAGAUAUCUGGAGGAACACCGAUGGCGAAAGCAGGUCACUGGACUCGUAUUGACGCUGAUCCACGAAAGCUGGGGGAUCAAACAGG
Molecule: unclassified non-coding RNA, 253 nt
Filed under: uncultured Elusimicrobia bacterium
Lineage: Bacteria; Pseudomonadati; Elusimicrobiota; Elusimicrobia
Description: contains 16S-23S intergenic spacer region
Rfam family: Bacterial small subunit ribosomal RNA
Source: RNAcentral